UUUUUUUUCAGCUCAGAUUGAACGCUGGCGGCAGGCCUAACACAUGCAAGUCGAGCGGUAGAGAGAAGCUUGCUUCUCUUGAGAGCGGCGGACGGGUGAGUAAUGCCUAGGAAUCUGCCUGGUAGUGGGGGAUAACGUUCGGAAACGGACGCUAAUACCGCAUACGUCCUACGGGAGAAAGCAGGGGACCUUCGGGCCUUGCGCUAUCAGAUGAGCCUAGGUCGGAUUAGCUAGUUGGUGGGGUAAUGGCUCACCAAGGCGACGAUCCGUAACUGGUCUGAGAGGAUGAUCAGUCACACUGGAACUGAGACACGGUCCAGACUCCUACGGGAGGCAGCAGUGGGGAAUAUUGGACAAUGGGCGAAAGCCUGAUCCAGCCAUGCCGCGUGUGUGAAGAAGGUCUUCGGAUUGUAAAGCACUUUAAGUUGGGAGGAAGGGUUGUAGAUUAAUACUCUGCAAUUUGACGUACCGACAGAUAGAC
RNAcentral lists this ribosomal RNA (481 nucleotides) under Pseudomonas sp. CAS4027i. Its description in RNAcentral is "bacterial SSU rRNA". It matches the Rfam family "Bacterial small subunit ribosomal RNA", at positions 12 to 490 of the family's 1533-position model. Lineage: Bacteria; Pseudomonadati; Pseudomonadota; Gammaproteobacteria; Pseudomonadales; Pseudomonadaceae. The record is from RNAcentral.